CCAAUAGCGUAUAUUAAAGUUGUUGCAGUUAAAAAGCUCGUAGUUGAAUUUCGGGAUCAAUGUUUCGGUCAUGCCGUUGGUAUGUACUGAUAUUAUUGGUUUCUCACCUUCUAAAGAACCGUAAUGCCAUUAAUUUGGUGUCACGGGGAAUUAGGACUGUUACCUUGAAAAAAUUAGAGUGUUUAAAGCAGGCUUACGCUUGAAUACAUUAGCAUGGAAUAAUGAAAUAGGACAUCCGAUUCUAUUUUGUUGGUUUCUAGGAUCGAUGUAAUGAUUAAUAGGGAUAGUUGGGGGCAUUAGUAUUCAAUUGUCAGAGGUGAAAUUCUUGGAUUUAUUGAAGACUAACUACUGCGAAAGCAUUUGCCAAGGAUGUUUUCAUUAAUCAAGAACGAAAGUUAGGGGAUCGAAGACGAUCAGAUACCGUCGUAGUCUUAACCAUAAACUAUGCCGACUAGGGAUCGGAUGAUGUUAAUUUUUUAAUGACUCAUUCGGCGCCUUACG
Molecule: ribosomal RNA, 501 nt
Filed under: uncultured Glomeromycotina
Lineage: Eukaryota; Fungi; Glomeromycota
Description: partial small subunit ribosomal RNA
Rfam family: Eukaryotic small subunit ribosomal RNA
Source: RNAcentral